RNAcentral lists this small nucleolar RNA (106 nucleotides) under Gossypium hirsutum (cotton). Its description in RNAcentral is "Plant small nucleolar RNA R71". It matches the Rfam family "Plant small nucleolar RNA R71". Rfam says of the family: R71 is a member of the C/D box family of snoRNAs containing the C (UGAUGA) and D (CUGA) box motifs. Multiple nearly identical copies of this snoRNA have been identified in Arabidopsis, and it is thought to function as a 2'-O-ribose methylation guide for 18S ribosomal RNA. Lineage: Eukaryota; Viridiplantae; Streptophyta; Magnoliopsida; Malvales; Malvaceae. The record is from Rfam by way of RNAcentral.
AAUCCAUGGUGAGGGCACCUUCUCAAUAGAUCUUUGUAUCUCUCCCAUGCAACAUACAGUGUUUCUAAAUCCAUCUACACAAAAGAAGAGAUAUCAUUUCGUAAUU